CUCCUUCCCUUUCCACAUCUGAAUUAUUGUCAUCCUUUCAAUUUGUAGGUCACAGAAUGAGUUAGGGAGAUAAAAUCCAGAGGCCUGCCUCGAAGGCCUUCGGAAUGAGAGCCUUAGCAAACAGACCACUGGAAUUGAGUGAUUUAUUCAAAUCAUCGCUAACUAAGGCAGUGGUUGACCAGAUCUGCGUACACUGUGGGGAAGACAGGCAAUCUAAAGAGCACCUGCUGUCUGCGAGGAGAAAUGCGCCACAGUCUCUCAGCCCUGGAUCCAGGCCACUUAGCUGACACAAAGACAUUGCUUCCCCUUCUGAUUUAAAAAUAUGUUCCUCAUUUCCUGCUGCGGUCUCAUGAAUCCUCCUGGGGGAGCAUCAAAGUGCCAAAAGAAAUUCAGAGCUGGGAAGUCGCCUGGGCACCCCCCUCCCCCCCCGCCCCCCGGGGAGGCUGGAGGUCGGCCCUGCUCUGUCAGGGUGUGGGUGGGAGGCAUGGGAGGGAGCAGGCCCCAUGGAGGGUCCGGGACCUGACAGGGCGUGCUUUGCUCUGUCAGCUGUUUCAGCUGCCACUUCAGUGAUGGAUUUGUAAAUAUUUGUUGCUCUUUUCUCCCGAGGCGUGCUGUGUGCUCGCUCCCUGGGAAGCAGGAUUGUUUGGCCAUUUCACAGAGAGGGAGCCUGAGGGCCUGGAAACUGAAGGCCCAAAGUCAUGAAGGAAACCUGGGGAAGAGCCAGGAUGACGAUGAAGAUCUCUCGAGUCCAAGGGCUUUUUCCAUUCUUUGGAUCAAACACGUGCAGGCAGAACCAAGCUUUUUGAUUGGCUGGAAAAAGGGGCCGAUGCGGGUGGACUUCUGAGCGGUGUUGUGAGCACGCAGGUCUCAGACUGUUUCUGCAGGGCUGAAGGGAAUGACUUCUCAUACUCAUACCGUCCUCCUUCUCCAUUUCUGCAGUCCUCCCACAUCUACAUUCUGCAGGCUGCUGGCCCAGAACACAGAAGGCAGUGAAACAUGGCCUCAGAGACCUUGACUUGCCGUCAGAGGACCUGGCUCUCUUGGGGUCUCCACGAAGAACUCAUCCUGGCUGCAAACAGUUCUCUCCUCGACUCUCUCCUACCACUGGUCUAGAGACCCAGAAUCCUAUUCUGCCUGGACCGCUCACUUGCUGUGCAUCUCUAGAAGAGCUGUUGCCUUUUCUGGGCCAUUUCAUCAGAAUAAGAUAGAAAUCCAAGGUACCAUGGUGCACAUCUCUCCCAGUGCCCUCUGAGGGCCCGUGCUGUGAGGAGAGCCAAGGACAC
RNAcentral lists this long non-coding RNA (1283 nucleotides) under Equus caballus (horse). Its description in RNAcentral is "lncRNA (ENSECAG00000047864.1)". Lineage: Eukaryota; Metazoa; Chordata; Mammalia; Perissodactyla; Equidae. The record is from RNAcentral.